AGUCUUUUAAUUGAAGGCUGGUAUGAAUGGUUGGACGAGAUAUUUACUGUUUCAUAUAAAUUUAAAUUAGAAUUUUAUUUUUUAGUUAAAAAGCUAAAAUUUAGUUAAAAGACGAGAAGACCCUAUAAAUCUUUAUAUUUUUUAUAUUAUAAUUUUGAAGAUGAUUUUUAUUAGGAUAUAUUAUAAUAUUUUAUUGGGGUGAUAUUAAAAUUUAAUAAACUUUUAAUUUAUUAAUUACAUUAAUUUAUGAUUUAUUGAUCCAUUUUUAGUGAUUAAAAAUUUAAGUUACUUUAGGGAUAACAGCGUAAUUUUUUUGGAGAGUUCUUAUCGAAAAAAAAGAUUGCGACCUCGAUGUUGGAUUAAG
This 364-nucleotide ribosomal RNA is filed under the name Hydrotaea albipuncta. RNAcentral describes it as "partial 16S ribosomal RNA". Lineage: Eukaryota; Metazoa; Arthropoda; Insecta; Diptera; Muscidae. The record is from RNAcentral.